Molecule: long non-coding RNA, 244 nt
Filed under: Lathyrus oleraceus (garden pea)
Lineage: Eukaryota; Viridiplantae; Streptophyta; Magnoliopsida; Fabales; Fabaceae
Description: Pisum sativum (pea) long non-coding RNA (PSAT_LNC037357)
Source: RNAcentral
GAGAAACAUUGGUGCUUCAAUUAAAAAUCUGGAAGUGCAAAUGAUUUAGAUUGCUCAACAACUUGCGGGUUCGCAAACACCAGGUGCAUUACCGAGUGCUACAGUUACAAAUCCACGAGAGCAUAAUAAUGUGAGUGCGGUAACCACAAGGAGUGGUAAGGCAAAAUAAGUCCCUGAAAAAGAUGAUGACCAACAAGACCAAUUGCUUGAAGUUGAUUUGGAGAUAAAAGAAAAUGAGGUUGUU